UACGUAGGGGGCAAGCGUUGUCCGGAUUUAUUGGGCGUAAAGAGCGUGUAGGCGGCCAGACAGGUCAGCUGUGAAAACUCGAGGCUCAACCUCGAGACGUCGGUUGAAACCGUCUGGCUAGAGUCCGGAAGAGGAGAGUGGAAUUCCCGGUGUAGCGGUGAAAUGCGCAGAUAUCGGGAAGAACACCCGUGGCGAAGGCGGUUCUCUGGGCCUGUUCUGACGCUGAGGAGCGAAAGCGUGGGGAGCGAACAGG
RNAcentral lists this ribosomal RNA (253 nucleotides) under uncultured bacterium. RNAcentral describes it as "partial 16S ribosomal RNA". It matches the Rfam family "Bacterial small subunit ribosomal RNA", at positions 524 to 776 of the family's 1533-position model. The record is from RNAcentral.